RNAcentral lists this long non-coding RNA (932 nucleotides) under Fukomys damarensis (Damara mole-rat). RNAcentral's name for it is "lncRNA (ENSFDAG00000022801.1)". Lineage: Eukaryota; Metazoa; Chordata; Mammalia; Rodentia; Bathyergidae. The record is from RNAcentral.
UGUGUGAUAUUUGAUUCUUUCCUUACAUUUCCUUCACAGAUAUUCAAGAAUUUUAUGAGGUGACAUUACUAAAUUCUCAAAAAAGUUGCCAGCAGAAAAUAGAAGAAGCCAAUCGAGUUGUGCAGAAAUGGGAAAAGACAUCGAUUCUUUCUCCGUGCCAUGAUAGCCUUCAAAAAUCUGCAGAGUUUGCAGGUUGCAGUGGACUGAAGGAAAAGGUUUCCUGUAUUGAGAAAAAUAAAGAAAAUCAGUGUUUUGAGAUUGAAACUGAUGAGAAGACAAGUCAAAACCAAGGCAAAUGCCCAGCCCAGAAUUGUUCAGUGGACGCCCCUGCGUGGAUGCCUGUCCAUCACUGUUCUAUAUAAACUCAUGGACACCACAGGAAAAUGAAUGGAUAAUCAGAAAUGGGAAGUCAUCAAAGAUAGUGCAACUGAUACUUCUUGGGACUGUGAAUAUUUUGGUAAUCUUUAAGUGCAUAAACAUUACCAUAGAAAGCCUUGAAACAGAAGUCUCAGCGAAAAAGAAUCAGAUGAUGCAGCUCAUGAGGAGACUCUUCAAAGAAUAUACUUGACCAGUGACAGGAAUACUGAAAAAGGGAUCUCUGUCUUCUGCAAUAUUUUGAUUGACCUGACUUUAUGAAAUUAUGCUAGAAAGACCUAAAAGUUAGAAGGAUGUGUUUACGUGGAGUUGAAUUGAGAAUAAAUUCAGGAGACAUAUGCCAAUGUAUGGAGAAGAUAACAAUACGAAUAGAGAUAAAAAGUCCUUUUAAAGCUCUGAGAUGAUUUUCAUUCUGCUACAAGUGGCACUAUUCUUUCUUCAUGUUUAAAGGCAGAUGGUGGCUGUAUAGACAAAAUGCAAUGAAGAGUCAAGGCAAUUAUUCAUUUCCGUGGGGCUUCAGGAAUGUGCUGUGGAGGGAAAAAAUUGCUUUGGGGGCC